AAAAGAACCCCGGCGAGGGGAGUGAAAAAGAACCUGAAACCGUGUACGUACAAGCAGUGGGAGCCUCUUAAUGGGGUGACUGCGUACCUUUUGUAUAAUGGGUCAGCGACUUAUAUUCUGUAGCAAGGUUAACCGAAUAGGGGAGCCGAAGGGAAACCGAGUCUUAACUGGGCGUUAAGUUGCAGGGUAUAGACCCGAAACCCGGUGAUCUAGCCAUGGGCAGGUUGAAGGUUGGGUAACACUAACUGGAGGACCGAACCGACUAAUGUUGAAAAAUUAGCGGAUGACUUGUGGCUGGGGGUGAAAGGCCAAUCAAACCGGGAGAUAGCUGGUUCUCCCCGAAAGCUAUUUAGGUAGCGCCUCGUGAAUUCAUCUCCGGGGGUAGAGCACUGUUUCGGCAAGGGGGUCAUCCCGACUUACCAACCCGAUGCAAACUGCGAAUACCGGAGAAUGUUAUCACGGGAGACACACGGCGGGUGCUAACGUCCGUCGUGAAGAGGGAAACAACCCAGACCGCCAGCUAAGGUCCCAAAGUCAUGGUUAAGUGGGAAACGAUGUGGGAAGGCCCAGACAGCCAGGAUGUUGGCUUAGAAGCAGCCAUCAUUUAAAGAAAGCGUAAUAGCUCACUGGUCGAGUCGGCCUGCGCGGAAGAUGUAACGGGGCUAAACCAUG
RNAcentral lists this ribosomal RNA (672 nucleotides) under Escherichia coli. RNAcentral's name for it is "partial 23S ribosomal RNA". It matches the Rfam family "Bacterial large subunit ribosomal RNA", at positions 517 to 1191 of the family's 2925-position model. The record is from RNAcentral. Lineage: Bacteria; Pseudomonadati; Pseudomonadota; Gammaproteobacteria; Enterobacterales; Enterobacteriaceae.